RNAcentral lists this ribosomal RNA (422 nucleotides) under uncultured bacterium. RNAcentral describes it as "partial 16S ribosomal RNA". It matches the Rfam family "Bacterial small subunit ribosomal RNA", at positions 355 to 774 of the family's 1533-position model. The record is from RNAcentral.
UGAGGAAUAUUGGACAAUGGGUGAGAGCCUGAUCCAGCCAUCCCGCGUGAAGGAUGACGGUCCUAUGGAUUGUAAACUUCUUUUGUACAGGGAUAAACCUACUCUCGUGAGGGUAGCUGAAGGUACUGUACGAAUAAGCACCGGCUAACUCCGUGCCAGCAGCCGCGGUAAUACGGAGGGAGCAAGCGUUAUCCGGAUUUAUUGGGUUUAAAGGGUCCGUAGGCGGACUUGUAAGUCAGUGGUGAAAUCUCAUAGCUUAACUAUGAAACUGCCAUUGAUACUGCAGGUCUUGAGUAAAUUUGAAGUGGCUGGAAUAAGUAGUGUAGCGGUGAAAUGCAUAGAUAUUACUUAGAACACCAAUUGCGAAGGCAGGUCACUAAGAUUUAACUGACGCUGAUGGACGAAAGCGUGGGGAGCGAACA